GUUUUAGUAGUUUAAAAAAAACUUUGGUCUUGUAAAUCAAAAUUAAGGGUACAAAACCUUCUAAAACU
This 68-nucleotide transfer RNA is filed under the name Suwallia bimaculata. RNAcentral describes it as "tRNA-Thr". It matches the Rfam family "tRNA". Rfam says of the family: Transfer RNA (tRNA) molecules are approximately 80 nucleotides in length. The record is from RNAcentral. Lineage: Eukaryota; Metazoa; Arthropoda; Insecta; Plecoptera; Chloroperlidae.